RNAcentral lists this ribosomal RNA (410 nucleotides) under Staphylococcus aureus. RNAcentral describes it as "bacterial SSU rRNA". It matches the Rfam family "Bacterial small subunit ribosomal RNA", at positions 1 to 400 of the family's 1533-position model. The record is from RNAcentral. Lineage: Bacteria; Bacillati; Bacillota; Bacilli; Caryophanales; Staphylococcaceae.
UUUAUGGAGAGUUUGAUCCUGGCUCAGGAUGAACGCUGGCGGCGUGCCUAAUACAUGCAAGUCGAGCGAACGGACGAGAAGCUUGCUUUUCUGAUGUUAGCGGCGGACGGGUGAGUAACACGUGGAUAACCUACCUAUAAGACUGGGAUAACUUCGGGAAACCGGAGCUAAUACCGGAUAAUAUUUUGAACCGCAUGGUUCAAAAGUGAAAGACGGUCUUGCUGUCACUUAUAGAUGGAUCCGCGCUGCAUUAGCUAGUUGGUAAGGUAACGGCUUACCAAGGCAACGAUGCAUAGCCGACCUGAGAGGGUGAUCGGCCACACUGGAACUGAGACACGGUCCAGACUCCUACGGGAGGCAGCAGUAGGGAAUCUUCCGCAAUGGGCGAAAGCCUGACGGAGCAACGCCGC